GUAGCUAUUUGAGAGACAAGUAUGCCUAACCUGAUUUGAAGAUUGCUAAUGUGCACAUUGUAUUCAAAUAUCUUGUGAUACCCUAUGAAUAUGUACAAUUUUUAGUAUCAUUUAAUAAUAAAUACCUUUGGCUGGCCAGAGUGGUGCAUGCCUAUAAUCCCAGUGGCUUGGGAGGCUGAGCUAGAAGGAUGAAAGUUUAAGACUAGUCUCAGAAAAUAAGUGAAGCACUAAGAAACUUAGCUAGAGCCUGUCUACAAAUAAAAAGGCCUGCAGAUGUGGAUCAGUAGUGAACAGCUCCUGGGUCAAUCCUUGCUACCAGUAAUAACAAUAGUAAAUUAAUCAAUUAAAACUUUCCUUUUGUUUCAUAGUGUCAUUGGCUCACAUACUUACUGUCUUCAAUUCCAGCAGUAAUGUAAAAAGAACCUCUCAUACCUUAUAUCUCUGACUGUGUCCUCUGCUGCAUCUCUGUAUUCUGCUUUGAGGGCCCAUGUAAAUAGAGUAGGACAAUCAGAUACCAGUGUGUACACCAGUGUAUAAGAGAAAAAUAUCUCCCCCUCUAUGAUCUGCCAAUCAGCAGUCUUAGCAUCAUCUUUAAACCCCAGUUAACCCAAUGUAACCUCAGGAGUGAUGGCAAGAGCAUUCUCCAAGUCGUCUUGGAACAACCCUGUUCACAGUCCCACGUUAUCCCUUGUAGUUCUCAGGACAACUGCAAAAUAUACUGAGAAGGUAACACCAUAAGCUAGGAAGAAACUAAGUGGAACAACAUAAUUUCUAUUCCAGUUUUCCUAGAAUCAGUAUGUCCUUUAAUGAUUUAGAGAGUGUUGUGGUUCUAGGGCACAAAACCCAAGGUGGACAUCUUCCUGGGGUCCUUAAGCUUUAGUGUAAGUGGACCAUAUUUGGAUGAAACUGAAUCCUCUGUGUGGAGCCUUCAUGACUGCCAGGGACAAGCUUGGAAUGAAUCCAAAGCUUCUGCAUGCCCUUGCUCCCUGUCCGUAAGUAAUAAACCUGUCUCAUGUACCCAGGGUGUGUGGAUGUUCUGUUUCAUCAGACUAAAAGAAGUUGAUUUCCAGUCCAAAAUCAAUUUGCUUUACAAUAAUAUCUGGGGUUGGGAAUUUUCUAUGGCAUGGUUUUGAAUUUUAAAAACCAUAGAAAUUGUAAAUAUACCUACAAAUAAUUUACCCUUAAUGAGUAUUAGGAAAAAUAAUAAGAGGACACAGAAACAAGAUGUAGAGGCAGAAAGAAAAAUGGAUGCUUUUCCAAGUGACAGUGUUUAUUUACAUGGAUAGGUUACAUUAGGUAAUUAGGACCAUAAUUACAUUUUUAUUGCUUAGAGUACCAGCAAUGUUGUUUAUUCUGCAGUUUUAUUCCACAGUUACAAUAUGCAAAGUCAGAAGCUUUGUGCAGCUCUUAAGAAAUUCAUUGUCUAAAGUAACUUUUAAGUGGGCAGAUCCAGG
Molecule: long non-coding RNA, 1454 nt
Filed under: Marmota monax (woodchuck)
Lineage: Eukaryota; Metazoa; Chordata; Mammalia; Rodentia; Sciuridae
Source: RNAcentral